GUGGGGAAUAUUGGACAAUGGGCGAAAGCCUGAUCCAGCCAUGCCGCGUGUGUGAAGAAGGUCUUCGGAUUGUAAAGCACUUUAAGUUGGGAGGAAGGGCAGUAAGUUAAUACCUUGCUGUUUUGACGUUACCGACAGAAUAAGCACCGGCUAACUUCGUGCCAGCAGCCGCGGUAAUACGAAGGGUGCAAGCGUUAAUCGGAAUUACUGGGCGUAAAGCGCGCGUAGGUGGUUUUGUAAGUUGGAGGUGAAAUCCCCGGGCUCAACCUGGGAACUGCCUCCAAAACUGCAUGACUAGAGUACAGUAGAGGGUAGUGGAAUGUCCUGUGUAGCGGUGAAAUGCGUAGAUAUAGGAAGGAACACCAGUCGCGAAGGCGACUACCUGGACUGAUACUGACACUGAGGUGCGAAAGCGUGGGGAGCAAACAGGAUUAGAUACCCCGGUAGUCC
Molecule: ribosomal RNA, 450 nt
Filed under: uncultured bacterium
Lineage: Bacteria
Description: partial 16S ribosomal RNA
Rfam family: Bacterial small subunit ribosomal RNA
Source: RNAcentral